This 421-nucleotide long non-coding RNA is filed under the name Physcomitrium patens. RNAcentral describes it as "long non-coding RNA (PPAT_LNC010076)". Lineage: Eukaryota; Viridiplantae; Streptophyta; Bryopsida; Funariales; Funariaceae. The record is from RNAcentral.
AGAUAUUCACCGUCAUAAUCUCCAAGUAUAAUAUUACGCCCUCAUAGCUUUCAGCCCACAAUUACCCUCAUUCCAAUCACUAGAGUUUUUCAUACAGAACUGCCAUUCACAUUACGCUAUUUCACUCAAACAUAGAUUCAUUCUCUCUGUUGAACUAUAAUCAAAUUUUAGCAUUCAAUCUUUCUUCUUCUCAAAUAAUACCAAUCACAUUUCCAUUCCAUAAUUCACUUCACAAUAUUCAGAAACUCUCAAUUCUCUUAUUCAAAGAAAAUAACAAACAAAAGAAAAGAGGUAGUAUCAAGCUUAUUCCGGCUCACACUAUCACAGCGAUGGCCCUUGGCUCAUGACUAUCACAGUUUAGCACUUUAAUUAACUUCUACAACUCCUAUAUACUUUUCCUUGAUUUUCUUGAUUCUAACCA